This 228-nucleotide long non-coding RNA is filed under the name Lathyrus oleraceus (garden pea). RNAcentral describes it as "Pisum sativum (pea) long non-coding RNA (PSAT_LNC030965)". Lineage: Eukaryota; Viridiplantae; Streptophyta; Magnoliopsida; Fabales; Fabaceae. The record is from RNAcentral.
UUUGAGGGUGCUAUUUUUCCUUUUGUUUCUUUCUUUCUUCUUCUUUCUUUUGAUUUCUUUUGAUUUCUUUUGAUUUUGCACCCUCCUCUUUCUUUUUCUUUUUUUUUUUAUUUUUUUUUAUUACAUUUGUAAUGCCCCAGUUUGGCUGUUCUGCUGAUUCUCGAGAUGCAGCUGGGUGAUCUUCUUUUCUUGCUCAAGAAGUCGGGAAAUCUCAUCAGGAAUCCCUUC